UACAGAGGUCCCAAGCGUUGUUCGGAUUCAUUGGGCGUAAAGGGUGCGUAGGUGGCAUGGUAAGUCGGGUGUGAAAUCCCGGGGCUCAACCCCGGAACUGCACUCGAUACUGCCGUGCUCGAGUACUGGAGAGGAGACUGGAAUUUACGGUGUAGUAGUGAAAUGCGUAGAUAUCGUAAGGAAGACCGGUGGCGAAGGCUAGUCUCUGGACAGUUACUGACACUGAGGCACGAAGGCCAGGGGAGCAAACGGG
RNAcentral lists this ribosomal RNA (253 nucleotides) under uncultured bacterium. Its description in RNAcentral is "partial 16S ribosomal RNA". It matches the Rfam family "Bacterial small subunit ribosomal RNA", at positions 524 to 776 of the family's 1533-position model. The record is from RNAcentral.